GUGUAUCUGAAAUCAAGUGUGACGACCCGCUGAACUUAAGCAUAUCAAUAAGCGGAGGAAAAGAAUCAAAUGAGAUUUCCCU
Molecule: ribosomal RNA, 82 nt
Filed under: Dermanyssus gallinae
Lineage: Eukaryota; Metazoa; Arthropoda; Arachnida; Mesostigmata; Dermanyssidae
Description: partial large subunit ribosomal RNA
Rfam family: Eukaryotic large subunit ribosomal RNA
Source: RNAcentral